RNAcentral lists this ribosomal RNA (497 nucleotides) under uncultured bacterium. RNAcentral's name for it is "partial 16S ribosomal RNA". It matches the Rfam family "Bacterial small subunit ribosomal RNA", at positions 28 to 507 of the family's 1533-position model. The record is from RNAcentral.
GAUGAACGCUGGCGGCGUGCCUAAUACGUGCAAGUCGAGCGAACAGAUGAGGAGCUUGCUCCUCUGACGUUAGCGGCGGACGGGUGAGUAACACGUGGAUAACCUACCUAUAAGACUGGGAUAACUUCGGGAAACCGGAGCUAAUACCGGAUAAUAUAUUGAACCGCAUGGUUCAAUAGUGGAAGACGGUUUUGCUGUCACUUAUAGAUGGAUCCGCGCCGCAUUAGCUAGUUGGUAAGGUAACGGCUUACCAAGGCAACGAUGCGUAGCCGACCUGAGAGGGUGAUCGGCCACACUGGAACUGAGACACGGUCCAGACUCCUACGGGAGGCAGCAGUAGGGAAUCUUCCGCAAUGGGCGAAAGCCUGACGGAGCAACGCCGCGUGAGUGAUGAAGGUCUUCGGAUCGUAAAACUCUGUUAUUAGGGAAGAACAAAUGUGUAAGUAACUAUGCACGUCUUGACGGUACCUAAUCAGAAAGCCACGGCUAACUACGUG